UACGAAGGGGGCAAGCGUUGUUCGGAAUUACUGGGCGUAAAGGGCUCGUAGGCGGCCAACUAAGUCCGACGUGAAAUCCCAAGGCUUAACCUUGGAACUGCGUCGGAUACUGGAUGGCUUGAAUUCGGGAGAGGGAUGCAGAAUUCCAGGUGUAGCGGUGAAAUGCGUAGAUAUCUGGAGGAACACCGGUGGCGAAGGCGGGUCUCUGGGCCGAUACUGACGCUGAGGAGCGAAAGCGUGGGGAGCGAACAGG
This 253-nucleotide ribosomal RNA is filed under the name uncultured bacterium. RNAcentral describes it as "partial 16S ribosomal RNA". It matches the Rfam family "Bacterial small subunit ribosomal RNA", at positions 524 to 776 of the family's 1533-position model. The record is from RNAcentral.